This 605-nucleotide unclassified non-coding RNA is filed under the name Hevea brasiliensis (rubber tree). Lineage: Eukaryota; Viridiplantae; Streptophyta; Magnoliopsida; Malpighiales; Euphorbiaceae. The record is from RNAcentral.
GCCAAGAGUGGCACUUUACCGUCAAGGAUUGAUUUUCUUUCAGAAGCGGAAGCAUUAUCACCAUCUCAGAAACCAUCAGAAUGCAAUUGUCAGUAAUCUUUGUCAGAUAAGAGAUGCUUGGCUCAGUUGCCCUGGUUAUAGCAUUGAGGAGAAGCUUCAAGUGCUGAACAUUAAGAAGAAUGAGAAGAUUUUAAUGUACGAGAAAUUUGAAGAAUUGGGAAGUGAUGGAUCCGAGAGAGAGGAGUUCAGUGAUACUUUGUGGGGCAAAAGGACAAAAGAUCGUAAUUUUGGUCAGAAUAUGGGCUGUUAUUCUGGAUAUGGAGUAGGGUCAGCCUUGGAUUCAUCAUCUAGACAAAUGGCUUCGGAAGCUGCCAGAUACAAAAAGCAGAACCUAAAAGGGAAUUUGAAGGUAGGUGGAACAAAGGGUUCUGCAUUGCCUCCUUUUCGUCGCGGUAAAGGAAUGGACUAUAAUUCUGGGAUGGCUGUACCAAUGAGGGAUAUGUUGAAUGGCAAUUAUGAGGAUGAUGGGAUGUAUGAAGUGGAUGUGCAGAGAGAGAGAAUCUUUUCACGGGCAGGGGCUGUUGAUAGAAGUGGGACUGUAAAAU